AACGAACGCUGGCGGCGUGCCUAACACAUGCAAGUCGUGCGAGAAAGUUCCUUCGGGAGCGAGUAAAGCGGCGCACGGGUGAGUAACACGUAGGUAACCUGCCCCCCAGUCUGGAACAACUAGAGGAAACUCUAGCUAAUGCCGGAUGAGACCACGAUCCCUUCGGGGGUUGCGGCCAAAGAUGGCCUCUACUUGUAAGCUAUCGCUGAGGGAUGGGCCUGCGGGCCAUUAGCUUGUUGGUGAGGUAACGGCUCACCAAGGCUGUGAUGGCUAGCUGGUCUGAGAGGAUGACCAGCCACACUGGGACUGAGACACGGCCCAGACUCCUACGGGAGGCAGCAGUGGGGAAUAUUGCGCAAUGGGCGAAGCCUGACGCAGCGACGCCGCGUGGGUGAUGAAGGCCUUAGGGUUGUAAAGCUCUUUACCCGGGAUGAUAAUGACAGUACCGGGAGAAUAAGACCCGGCUAACUCCGUGCCAGCAGCCGCGGUAAU
Molecule: ribosomal RNA, 492 nt
Filed under: uncultured bacterium
Lineage: Bacteria
Description: bacterial SSU rRNA
Rfam family: Bacterial small subunit ribosomal RNA
Source: RNAcentral